Molecule: ribosomal RNA, 632 nt
Filed under: Ochrobactrum sp. HPC 875
Lineage: Bacteria; Pseudomonadati; Pseudomonadota; Alphaproteobacteria; Hyphomicrobiales; Brucellaceae
Description: bacterial SSU rRNA
Rfam family: Bacterial small subunit ribosomal RNA
Source: RNAcentral
GAUCGUACACGGUAGCCGUAGAGCUGCACGUGGGCCCGGGGAGUGGGAAGCGGCUUACGGGUGAGUAACGCGGGGGAAUCUACCAUUUGCUACGGAACAACAGUUGGAAACGACUGCUAAUACCGUAUGUGCCCUAACGGGGAAAGAUUUAUCGGCAAAUGAUGAGCCCGCGUUGGAUUAGCUAGUUGGUGGGGUAAAGGCCUACCAAGGCGACGAUCCAUAGCUGGUCUGAGAGGAUGAUCAGCCACACUGGGACUGAGACACGGCCCAGACUCCUACGGGAGGCAGCAGUGGGGAAUAUUGGACAAUGGGCGCAAGCCUGAUCCAGCCAUGCCGCGUGAGUGAUGAAGGCCCUAGGGUUGUAAAGCUCUUUCACCGGUGAAGAUAAUGACGGUAACCGGAGAAGAAGCCCCGGCUAACUUCGUGCCAGCAGCCGCGGUAAUACGAAGGGGGCUAGCGUUGUUCGGAUUUACUGGGCGUAAAGCGCACGUAGGCGGACUUUUAAGUCAGGGGUGAAAUCCCGGGGCUCAACCCCGGAACUGCCUUUGAUACUGGAAGUCUUGAGUAUGGAAGAGGUGAGUGGAAUUCCGAGUGUAGAGGUGAAAUUCGUAGAUAUUCGGAGGAACACCAGU